GUCACCCGCGGUCACGCCCCUGCCGCGGCUCUGCCGGGUGUCGCCGUCGUUUCUCCGCGUUCGGCACUCGCGGUCAUCCCCCUGCCGCAGCUCCGCCGGAUCUUAUCUCUGUUUCCUUCCGUUCCCGUCGCUCGCGGUCAUCCCCCGGCCGCAGCUCCUCCCCUAACCCGCCCCGGGCCGCCCCUGGUGACGGGCUAACCUCCGCCCGCCCCGCGCUAACCGGAUCCGAGCGGAACUAACGCGGGAAACGCGGGGACUAACGAGCACGGCGACGGCGGCGACUUCGACCUCGCGGACGCGCUGGACGAGCCGGACCCCACCCCGAAGCCGAGCGGCGGACUCUACCCCAGGCUCCCCGAGGACCCGGAUGCGCACGGCGACCCCCGGCCACGCCCCCGGCCACGCCCCGAGCCGCAGCCGCGCCCACAGCCACGCCCCGA
Grammomys surdaster is the source of this 440-nucleotide long non-coding RNA. RefSeq lists it as uncharacterized. The transcript is spliced from 4 exons. The record is from RefSeq and is a predicted model, not a curated record. NCBI's taxonomy places the organism in Eukaryota, Metazoa, Chordata, Mammalia, Rodentia, Muridae.